GACGAACGCUGGCGGCGUGCUUAACACAUGCAAGUCGAACGGAAAGGCCCUGCUUUUGUGGGGUGCUCGAGUGGCGAACGGGUGAGUAACACGUGAGUAACCUGCCCUUGACUUUGGGAUAACUUCAGGAAACUGGGGCUAAUACCGGAUAGGAGCUCCUGCUGCAUGGUGGGGGUUGGAAAGUUUCGGCGGGUGGGGAUGGACUCGCGGCUUAUCAGCUUGUUGGUGGGGUAGUGGCUUACCAAGGCUUUGACGGGUAGCCGGCCUGAGAGGGUGACCGGCCACAUUGGGACUGAGGGACGGCCCAGACUCCUACGGGGGGCAGCAGUGGCGAAUAUUGCACAAUGGGCGGAAGCCUGAUGCAGCAACGCCGCGUGCGGGAUGACGGCCUUCGGGUUGUAAACCGCUUUCGCCUGUGACGAAGCGUGAGUGACGGUAAUGAGUAAAGAAGCACCGGCUAACUACGUG
This 468-nucleotide ribosomal RNA is filed under the name uncultured bacterium. RNAcentral's name for it is "partial 16S ribosomal RNA". It matches the Rfam family "Bacterial small subunit ribosomal RNA", at positions 28 to 507 of the family's 1533-position model. The record is from RNAcentral.